Molecule: unclassified non-coding RNA, 292 nt
Organism: Oryctolagus cuniculus (rabbit)
Lineage: Eukaryota; Metazoa; Chordata; Mammalia; Lagomorpha; Leporidae
Rfam family: Metazoan signal recognition particle RNA
About the family: The signal recognition particle (SRP) is a universally conserved ribonucleoprotein. It is involved in the co-translational targeting of proteins to membranes. The eukaryotic SRP consists of a 300-nucleotide 7S RNA and six proteins: SRPs 72, 68, 54, 19, 14, and 9.
Source: Ensembl
GCCGGGCGCGGUGGCGCGUGCCUGUAGUCCCAGCUACUCGGGAGGCUGAGGCUGGAGGAUCGCUUGAGUCCAGGAGUUCUGGGCUGUCAUGCGCUAUGCCAAUCAGGUGUCCACACUAAGUUUGGCAUCAAUAUGGUGACCUCCCGGGAGCGGGGGACCACCAGGUUGCCUAAGGAGGGGUGAACUGGCCCAGGUCGAAAGGAGAACGAACUCAAAUCUAGGCACUCUAAUAUGCAAUGCAGGCAUCCCAACUGGCUAAAUAGCUGAGCCAAAAACAUACCCCGUUAUCCUU